RNAcentral lists this small nucleolar RNA (88 nucleotides) under Solanum tuberosum (potato). Lineage: Eukaryota; Viridiplantae; Streptophyta; Magnoliopsida; Solanales; Solanaceae. The record is from RNAcentral.
UGGCUAUGAUUAGAAUAUUUAUCCGCGCUUCUGAGAGUAAUCUAUGAAGUAUAUGAUAAAAAAUGGUUGAAUUUCUUAAUAUGAGCCU